Molecule: long non-coding RNA, 387 nt
Organism: Amphibalanus amphitrite
Lineage: Eukaryota; Metazoa; Arthropoda; Thecostraca; Balanomorpha; Balanidae
Exons: 2
Source: RefSeq, a predicted model, not a curated record
CAAGGCCGCCACUCACACAGUCCACACCACACUCAACAACAUCCACUCUCCAACACUCCACUCAACAUGCACAACCUGCCCGCCAUCAUGACGCUGACCAGGGAGCCGAUUGGCUCGGCUUGGCGGCAGCAGGCUGUUCUUUCGGCACUCUUCCGGCCUCUACAAUAUCGGCAUACUCGAGUGCGAUAGCAACUCGAGUGAGACUGAUUUUCGGUCUUCUUUCGACACUCUUCCGUCUUCUUCGAUAUCAGCCUGUGCUAAUGCAACGGCUAUUCGUGCAGGACUGAUUUUCGGCCUUGUCUCGUUUAAUGACUCGAUCGCUUCCUUUUGACAUUUUGGUUUCGACCUCAUCUUUUGGCUCAUUUCAAUAUAUCUACUUUUUGUUCA